This is a long non-coding RNA of Oncorhynchus keta (chum salmon), 147 nucleotides long. RefSeq lists it as uncharacterized. The transcript has 3 exons. The record is from RefSeq and is a predicted model, not a curated record. Lineage: Eukaryota; Metazoa; Chordata; Actinopteri; Salmoniformes; Salmonidae.
AGUGCAGAGGAGAGGGCUGAAACAAGGAGGUUAGCAGAGAGAACAGUGCAGAGGAGACGGCUGAAACAAGGAGGUUAGCAGAGGGAACAGUGCAGAGGAGAGGGCUGAAACAAGGAGGUUAGCAGAGAGAACAGUGCAGAGGAGAGG